CAGUCGCCGCGGUAAUACGGAGGAUGCAAGCGUUGUCCGGAAUCAUUGGGCGUAAAGGGUCCUGAGGUGGUUUGCUUAGUCCAGUGUGAAAGUUCAGGGCUUACCCUUGAAAAUGCGGUGGAAACUAGCAGGCUAGAGUACGGUGGGGGCAGAGGGAAUUCCCGAUGUAGCGGUGAAAUGCAUAGAUAUCGGGAAGAACACCGAUGGCGAAGGCACUCUGCUGGGCCGAAACUGACACUGAAAGACGAAAGCCAGGGGAGCGAAUGGGAUUAGAUACCCCCGUAGUCCCUGUCUCUUAUAC
This 301-nucleotide ribosomal RNA is filed under the name uncultured bacterium. RNAcentral describes it as "partial 16S ribosomal RNA". It matches the Rfam family "Bacterial small subunit ribosomal RNA", at positions 509 to 807 of the family's 1533-position model. The record is from RNAcentral.